Molecule: ribosomal RNA, 254 nt
Filed under: uncultured bacterium
Lineage: Bacteria
Description: partial 16S ribosomal RNA
Rfam family: Bacterial small subunit ribosomal RNA
Source: RNAcentral
UACGUAGGGAGCGAGCGUUGUCCGGAUUCAUUGGGCGUAAAGCGCUUUAAGGCGGUUCGCUAAGUCGCGUGUGAAACCUCCAGGCUCAACCUGGAGACGCCACGCGAUACUGGCGUGACUAGAGUUCGGUAGGGGAUCACGGAAUUCCUGGUGUAGCGGUGAAGUGCGCAGAUAUCAGGAGGAACACCGGUGGCGAAGGCGGUGAUCUGGGCCGACACUGACGCUGUAGAGCGAAAGCGUGGGGAGCGAACAGG